UACGGGGGGUGCGAGCGUUGUCCGGAAUCACUGGGCGUAAAGGGCGCGUAGGUGGUUUGAUAAGGGUGUGGUGAAAGUCCGGAGCUCAACUCCGGAUCUGCCGUGCCGACUGUCAAACUCGAGGGCUGUAGAGGCAGACGGAAUUCCGGGUGUAGCGGUGGAAUGCGUAGAGAUCCGGAGGAAGACCGGUGGCGAAGGGCGGUCUGCUGGGCAGUUUCUGACACUGAGGCGCGACAGCGUGGGGAGCAAACAGG
RNAcentral lists this ribosomal RNA (254 nucleotides) under uncultured bacterium. RNAcentral describes it as "partial 16S ribosomal RNA". It matches the Rfam family "Bacterial small subunit ribosomal RNA", at positions 524 to 776 of the family's 1533-position model. The record is from RNAcentral.